AGCAGCCGCGGUAAUUCCAGCUCCAAUAGCGUAUAUUAAAGUUGUUGCAGUUAAAAAGCUCGUAGUUGAAUUUCGGGGUCAGUAGUCUGGUCGUGCCACUGGUAUGUACUGGGCUCACUGAUUCCUCCUUCCUGAUGAACUGUAAUGCCAUUAAUUUGGUGUUGCAGGGAGACUGGACUGUUACUUUGAAAAAAUUAGAGUGUUUAAAGCAGGCUAACGCUUGAAUACAUUAGCAUGGAAUAAUGAAAUAGGACGUUCGAUCCUAUUUCGUUGGUUUCUAGGAUUGACGUAAUGAUUAAUAGGGAUAGUUGGGGGCAUUAGUAUUCAAUUGUCAGAGGUGAAAUUCUUGGAUUUAUUGAAGACUAACUACUGCGAAAGCAUUUGCCAAGGAUGUUUUCAUUAAUCAAGAACGAAAGUUAGGGGAUCGAAGACGAUCAGAUACCGUCGUAG
Molecule: ribosomal RNA, 450 nt
Filed under: uncultured Glomeromycotina
Lineage: Eukaryota; Fungi; Glomeromycota
Description: SSU rRNA
Rfam family: Eukaryotic small subunit ribosomal RNA
Source: RNAcentral